AGCACACACGGAGCAGAACAGCAUGUACAAUUUCAUAUUUCUCACACUAACCAACUUCAUAACUUUGCCAGUGCUUUCGCUGUUUUUUCAGCUCCUUUUAUGUGUUCAAUCUAGAGUAUCAGGAGUCAGCAUCCACAACGCUGGAGAUGGUACAGAGAUUCUUUUUAAGGAUCAACCCUGAAGAGGGCAGCAAGUGCAAGGCCAAAGUUGGCACAAGUCGAAAGACAGGAGGUGUUGUGAAGAGAAAGGUGACUGCCAUCAACUCCCAGCAGGAAGGAAUUGCUGCCACCUGACGCCAAUGAUCGGUUGUAUAUCUGCUGUGAUUGGAGGAGAAGAAGCUUUGUGGGCAAAAGCAGCACUAUUCCUCAGUUCAGUUAUUUGUUUGUAAACUUUUGUUGUAUUGUUCUUUACCAUACAAAUUUAUAUUGUAGUUUCUUUGGGAUUAGUAGAGAGGUGGGUGCCAUUUCCUUUUGAUUUA
Molecule: long non-coding RNA, 478 nt
Organism: Xyrauchen texanus (razorback sucker)
Lineage: Eukaryota; Metazoa; Chordata; Actinopteri; Cypriniformes; Catostomidae
Exons: 3
Source: RefSeq, a predicted model, not a curated record